GACGAACGCUGGCGGCGUGCUUAACACAUGCAAGUCGAACGCGCCUGUCCUCUGGGUUUCUGGGGGGUGGGUGAGUGGCGAACGGGUGAGUAACACGUGAGUAACCUGCCCCCUUCUUCGGGAUAACGGUCUGAAAGGGCUGCUAAUACCGGGUAUUCACUGGUCUCCGCAUGGGGUCUGGUGGAAAGGUUUUUUUCUGGUGGGGGAUGGGCUCGCGGCCUAUCAGCUUGUUGGUGGGGUGAUGGCCCACCAAGGCUUUGACGGGUAGCCGGCCUGAGAGGGUGGCCGGUCCCUUUGGGACGGAGUUCCGGCCCAGCCUCCUCCGGGGGGCGGCGGGGGGGAAUAUUGCACAAUGGGCGAAGGCCUGAUCCGGCGCCGCCGCGGGGGGGAGGGGGGCUUUGGGGUUGGGACCCUCUUUCGCCCGGGGUCAGCCCGCGCCGGGGGUCGUGGUGGGGGUGGGGGGUAAAGAGGCCCCGGCUAACUACGUC
This 488-nucleotide ribosomal RNA is filed under the name uncultured bacterium. RNAcentral's name for it is "partial 16S ribosomal RNA". It matches the Rfam family "Bacterial small subunit ribosomal RNA", at positions 28 to 507 of the family's 1533-position model. The record is from RNAcentral.